AGUGAACGCUGGCGGUAGGCCUAACACAUGCAAGUCGAACGGCAGCACAGGAGAGCUUGCUCUCUGGGUGGCGAGCGGCGGACGGGUGAGGAAUACAUCGGAAUCGACUUUUUCGUGGGGGAUAACGUAGGGAAACUUACGAUAAUACCGCAUACGACCUACGGGUGAAAGCAGGGGAUCUUCGGACCUUGCGCGAUUGAAUGAGCCGAGGUCGGAUUAGCUAGUUGGCGGGGUAAAGGCCCACCAAGGCGACGAUCCGUAGCUGGUCUGAGAGGAUGAUCAGCCACACUGGAACUGAGACACGGUCCAGACUCCCACGGGAGGCAGCAGUGGGGAAUAUUGGACAAUGGGCGCAAGCCUGAUCCAGCCAUACCGCGUGGGUGAAGAGGGCCUUCUGGUUGUAAAGCCCUUUUGUUGGGAAAGAAAUCCAGCUGGUUAAUACCCGGUUGGGAUGACGGUACCCAAAGAAUAAGCACCGGCUAACUACGUGCCAGCCGCCGCAGUAA
This 506-nucleotide ribosomal RNA is filed under the name uncultured bacterium. RNAcentral's name for it is "partial 16S ribosomal RNA". It matches the Rfam family "Bacterial small subunit ribosomal RNA", at positions 29 to 523 of the family's 1533-position model. The record is from RNAcentral.